GAAGAAGGAAGAAGGAAGAAGAAGGAAGGAAGGAAGGAAGGAAGGAAGGAAGGAAGGAAGGAAGGAAGGAAGGAAGGAAGGAAGGAAGGAAGGAAGGAAGGAAGGAAGGAAGGAAGGAAGGAAGGAAGGAAGGACAGAGGGAGGAAGGAAGGGAAGAAGGGAAGAAGGGAGGGAGGGAGGUUUUGUAGGUAUUUGAAAUGACUCUCAUUUUAUGGCCUGGACAAAGACCACAUGAACACUUUCAGGAAGACUUGUGGAGAAAAGGCAAGGAAAUU
This 275-nucleotide long non-coding RNA is filed under the name Monodelphis domestica (gray short-tailed opossum). RNAcentral describes it as "lncRNA (ENSMODG00000046563.1)". Lineage: Eukaryota; Metazoa; Chordata; Mammalia; Didelphimorphia; Didelphidae. The record is from RNAcentral.